Molecule: transfer RNA, 64 nt
Filed under: Xylonora corona
Lineage: Eukaryota; Metazoa; Mollusca; Bivalvia; Myida; Xylophagaidae
Description: tRNA-Cys
Source: RNAcentral
UGGCUGAUAGUUUAUUAAAACAAUGAGUUGCAAUCUUAUCGAUGGACAAGGAUUCCUCAGCUUU